RNAcentral lists this transfer RNA (59 nucleotides) under Liposcelis bostrychophila. Its description in RNAcentral is "tRNA-Leu". The record is from RNAcentral. Lineage: Eukaryota; Metazoa; Arthropoda; Insecta; Psocodea; Liposcelididae.
ACCCCAUAGCAAAUUUAUGCGUUGAAUUUAAGCUUCAAAUAUAGGUAAUCCUUGAGGUA